This 1548-nucleotide long non-coding RNA is filed under the name Gallus gallus (chicken). Its description in RNAcentral is "lncRNA (ENSGALG00010004203.1)". Lineage: Eukaryota; Metazoa; Chordata; Aves; Galliformes; Phasianidae. The record is from RNAcentral.
GAAAAAGAUUUUCAUUCCCUGCAGAGCUGUAAAAUUCAAGUAACAAACAUGUACACGUUUUAUCCCCUCCUAAAUCACGUCAGCUUCCUGCAGUCAAAUGCCAGCAGUUUCUGUCAAAGGUAUAAGGUAUAAAACUGUUCUGUUAGGAGCUGAGCUUCAGAGACUUCCUGGCUAACAUGAGGAUUGUAAAAAAUCCAAAAUAGAUUGGAAGGGAAGGCUGCAUUCAUGUGAAACAUGGAAGAUCUGCUCCAAGAUCAGAGGCUUAAUGUGUGAUUUGCAUCCACUGUUAGCCUUACACAUCAGCUUCUCUAUGCCAGAAAAAUGUCUUGAUGCCCAAGUGGCAAAUUAUUCUCUUUUUAAGAAGAGAGGAGGAGGAGGAGGAUCAUUUCUCUCAGAGGGAGAAGAAAAAAAAAAAAAAAAGAAGAAGAAUUAAUAAAUAUUUCACAGAAGGUGAACCCAGAGGUCCUGAAGCAAAUCCUGAACAAAUUACAGGGAAGCAGAAACAGCUGGAGAGAGAAUACCAUUGCAGUAAGCACACUGCCUUGACCCAGCCUGCCAGCGCCCUUCAGCUCCCAGCUUUACUGUUUCUAAACACCUUAGCAAAAAAUAGGCAGAAUAUCUCUCAUUUAUUCAAGAAAAAAAGAAGGGGAUCCAUCCAAGUUCUUUUGUGAGACAAUCUGAAGAGGACCUUGGGGUUUCUAUGUUAGGCAACUCUGUGUGCUCUGAAAAGCCCUGCAAAGGCAGCUUGCAAAAAAAGAAGCGUAGGAGGGAGCUGGGAAGGCAGUGUGGCCUCAUAGGAAAUGAAGGCAAUAAUGCACAGCUCGUGAAUACGGGAACACCGCUGAUGUGGGAAAAGCACACAUUUCUUAUCAGCUACACCACUACUCACUACUGUACAAGGAUAAGUAUACGGAGACUUUGUCUUUGAUCCCCCUCCCCCCCCCCCCCAUUUUAGCUUUGUUAUUUGUUAUUAUUAUUGAUAUUAUCUUAUUAAUUAUUAUUACUAUUUCAAAUGAAUCAUGUAGGCCAGAAAAGUCAGAUUGGCCACCAUUUUGGUGGGGGAAGGAGAGACAUUUUUCUGAGGGGUCUCCAAAGGGAUGUACCCAUGCAGGUGCUGUGCUGGCGAAAUAUCUCACCAUAACAUUUGAGUGGCUCAGAGCUGCACAUUACUCCUUUACUUUCUUCUCCAUGGCCAACCUCCAAGGUUUUUUAUCCAUCUUUUAUAUGUUGCCUAUGUAAUCUUUGGAAGGAUGUGCUACAUUUGCUCAUAUAAGAUCAGCAUGACUGAACACUGGCUUGGAUGGAGCUCAGAUCCUACCAAAACCUAAAUGUUAGGUAAUGACUUUUGCUGUAUAUAGAACAUAGAAUAUAGGUCAAAUGAAAGAAGAAGUGACAGAAAGAGGGGAAGGCUGCAAUAAUGGAAAUAUCUUUAAUGCCACAAGCUACUCAAUAACUGAAAUCCGGAACAGCAUGAGUUCUGGGUUUUUUGUUUUGUUUUGUUUUUAAAAACAGGUUUAAGUAUUCAUCUGUUAUUCUUGAGAACUUCAG